This 86-nucleotide small nucleolar RNA is filed under the name Salix viminalis (osier). It matches the Rfam family "Small nucleolar RNA SNORD25". From Rfam's summary of the family: U25 is a member of the C/D class of snoRNA which contain the C (UGAUGA) and D (CUGA) box motifs. U25 is found in gene clusters in plants, and within the U22 snoRNA host gene (UHG) in mammals. U25 is thought to as a 2'-O-ribose methylation guide for ribosomal RNA. Lineage: Eukaryota; Viridiplantae; Streptophyta; Magnoliopsida; Malpighiales; Salicaceae. The record is from RNAcentral.
AAUUGCUGCGAUGAGCCUACAGACCUGUAUUGAUCUGCACAAAUGAUUGCAAAUUUCUAAGAACAUCUAAGGGACUGAUUGUGGUA